Molecule: ribosomal RNA, 385 nt
Filed under: uncultured bacterium
Lineage: Bacteria
Description: bacterial SSU rRNA
Rfam family: Bacterial small subunit ribosomal RNA
Source: RNAcentral
AAUCAACGCUGGCGGCGUGCCUCAGACAUGCAAGUCGAACGAUUAAAGCUCUCUUCGGAGGGUGUAUAGAGUGGCGCACGGGUGAGUAACACGUAAGUAAUCUACCUUCGAGUGGGGAAUAACCCGGGGAAACCCGAGCUAAUACCGCAUAAUGCAGCGGCAUCUAAUGAUGACAGUUGUUAAAGAUUUAUCGCUUGAAGAGGAGCUUGCGGCAGAUUAGCCAGUUGGUAAGGUAAUGGCUUACCAAGGCUACGAUCUGUAACCGGUCUAAGAGGACGGUCGGUCACACUGACACUGAAUAACGGGUCAGACUCCUACGGGAGGCAGCAGUCGGGAAUUUUGGGCAAUGGGCGAAAGCCUGACCCAGCAACGCCGCGUGAAGGAU